This 544-nucleotide ribosomal RNA is filed under the name uncultured bacterium. Its description in RNAcentral is "bacterial SSU rRNA". It matches the Rfam family "Bacterial small subunit ribosomal RNA", at positions 8 to 553 of the family's 1533-position model. The record is from RNAcentral.
AGGGUUUGAUCCUGGCUCAGGAUGAACGCUAGCGGCAGGCCUAACACAUGCAAGUCGAGGGGUAGUUACUUUCGGGUAAUGAGACCGGCGCACGGGUGCGUAACGCGUAUGCAAUCUACCUUUUACAGGGGAAUAGCCCAGAGAAAUUUGGAUUAAUGCCCCAUAGUAUGUAUGAAUCGCAUGGUUUAUACAUUAAAGUUCCAACGGUAAAAGAUGAGCAUGCGUCCCAUUAGUUAGUUGGUAAGGUAACGGCUUACCAAGACGAUGAUGGGUAGGGGUCCUGAGAGGGAGAUCCCCCACACUGGUACUGAGACACGGACCAGACUCCUACGGGAGGCAGCAGUGAGGAAUAUUGGACAAUGGGCGCAAGCCUGAUCCAGCCAUGCCGCGUGCAGGAAGAAGCAUCUAUGGUGUGUAAACUGCUUUUGUACGGGAAGAAACACUCCUACGUGUAGGAGCUUGACGGUACCGUAAGAAUAAGGAUCGGCUAACUCCGUGCCAGCAGCCGCGGUAAUACGGAGGAUCCAAGCGUUAUCCGGAAUCA